This 393-nucleotide long non-coding RNA is filed under the name Dasypus novemcinctus (nine-banded armadillo). RNAcentral's name for it is "lncRNA (ENSDNOG00000051991.1)". The record is from RNAcentral. Lineage: Eukaryota; Metazoa; Chordata; Mammalia; Cingulata; Dasypodidae.
GUCUUCUCAACAGCAGUUAAAAGACAGAAAGCUGCCUCGGAAAGUCCAGCUCAAGGAUGUCAAUUUCCCGGAGAUGCUUCUACAACCCUCUGGUCUGCCCUAACUCGGGUCCUUUAAACCCCAGACUUCAAGGAGCACUGAGAGCCGGCUGUCACCGCCCUGCCACCGGGGCUCCCCGGCAGAGCCUCCGCGCCUGUCUGUGUCAUCAUUUCCUGCUCUCAUCGCACUGGCUCUGAUCGCUUGACUCCAUCCUCCAGCUUUUAAAAUCGCCUUCUCACCCGAGGGCUGUUUUGAUAGCCCAUUUAGCCUUCCUUCCGGACAUUCUGAGAUUUAUGUUUCAUGACCGUGUUGAUUCCCUUAAUUUUUUAAUAUUAAAAAGAUGUAACAAACUAA